AGUGAACGCUGGCGGUAGGCCUAACACAUGCAAGUCGAACGGCAGCACAGUAAGAGCUUGCUCUUACGGGUGGCGAGUGGCGGACGGGUGAGGAAUACAUCGGAAUCUACUUUUUCGUGGGGGAUAACGUAGGGAAACUUACGCUAAUACCGCAUACGACCUACGGGUGAAAGCAGGGGAUCUUCGGACCUUGCGCGAUUGAAUGAGCCGAUGUCGGAUUAGCUAGUUGGCGGGGUAAAGGCCCACCAAGGCGACGAUACGUAGCUGGUCUGAGAGGAUGAUCAGCCGCACUAGAACUGAGACAGGGUCCAGACUCCUACGGGAGGCAGCAGUGGGGAAUAUUGGGCAAUGGGCGCGAGCCUGAUCCAGCCAUACCGCGUGGGUGAAGAAGGCCUUCGGGUUGUAAAGCCCUUUUGUUGGGAAAGAAAAGCAGCAGGUUAAUACCCCGCUGUUCUGACGGUAACCAAAGAAUAAGCACCGGCUAACUUCGUG
RNAcentral lists this ribosomal RNA (492 nucleotides) under uncultured bacterium. RNAcentral describes it as "partial 16S ribosomal RNA". It matches the Rfam family "Bacterial small subunit ribosomal RNA", at positions 29 to 507 of the family's 1533-position model. The record is from RNAcentral.